RNAcentral lists this ribosomal RNA (289 nucleotides) under unidentified marine bacterioplankton. Its description in RNAcentral is "partial 16S ribosomal RNA". It matches the Rfam family "Bacterial small subunit ribosomal RNA", at positions 26 to 339 of the family's 1533-position model. The record is from RNAcentral.
AGAAUGAACGCUGGCGGCAGGCCUAACACAUGGCAAGUCGAGCGAAGCUUCGGACUUAGCGCGGACGGUGAGUAACGCGUGGGAACAUACCCUUUUGGACGGAAUAGCCUCGGGAAACUGGGAGUAAUACCGGUAUGUGCCCUUCGGGGGGAAAAGAUUUUAUCGCCAAAGGAUUGGCCCCGCGUUGGAUUAGGUAGUUGGUGGGGUAAUGGCCUACCCAAGCCGACGAUCCAUAGCUGGUUUGAGAGGAUGAUCAGCCACACUGGGACUGAGACACGGCCCAGACUCC